This 334-nucleotide ribosomal RNA is filed under the name uncultured Oscillospiraceae bacterium. RNAcentral describes it as "bacterial SSU rRNA". It matches the Rfam family "Bacterial small subunit ribosomal RNA", at positions 1047 to 1382 of the family's 1533-position model. Lineage: Bacteria; Bacillati; Bacillota; Clostridia; Eubacteriales; Oscillospiraceae. The record is from RNAcentral.
UGUUGUCGUCAGCUCGUGUCGUGAGAUGUGGUUAAGUCCCGCAACGAGCGCAACCCCUGUGGUUAGUUGCCAGCAAGUAGCGUUGGGCACUCUAGCCAGACUGCCGGUGAUAAAUCGGAGGAAGGUGGGGACGACGUCAAAUCAUCAUGCCCUUUAUGUCCUGGGCUACACACGUACUACAAUGGCCGUUACAACGGGAAGCGAAGGAGCAAUCCGGAGCAAAUCCCUUAAAGGCGGUCCCAGUUCAGAUUGUGGGCUGAAACUCGCCCACAUGAAGGCGGAAUUGCUAGUAAUUGCAGAUCAGCAUGCUGCAGUGAAUACGUUCCCGGGCCUU